This 388-nucleotide unclassified non-coding RNA is filed under the name Hevea brasiliensis (rubber tree). Lineage: Eukaryota; Viridiplantae; Streptophyta; Magnoliopsida; Malpighiales; Euphorbiaceae. The record is from RNAcentral.
AGUAGUAGAUGGUUGAGUCAUUCAUCUGUAAUACCAUCAAGGAACAUUAAUCAAUCAUAUUCGUGAGUAACCCAUAUAGCUGCAGACCCAUAUAGACUGCAAUAUCUUUUUUUACCCCCAUGGCAAGCUACUUCCCAAUAACAUGAAUACAGUGAAGUCAUGUCUGCAUGGCCCACAAGCUGUAAUCUAUAUUUUUAGUAGUAUAAAGUUUAAUAUUUGUAUCAAAUGGAAAUAAACUCACUUGUCUCUAUCCACAUUGUUUACGCGAUAGUUGGUUUGGAGCAUGAUAAAUAUCAGAACAUAUCAAAAAUUAAGGCCAUAUGAUAAUGAAUAUAAAUGAGAUUCAGCCACGGCAACAUGGUAAAUGAAUUAACAAUAACCAUCUAUU